GGUAGACUCACCUGUGUAUCUUAAAAAUCCGCAUGUCCUCUGUAGAUCAGUUGGGUCAGAAUCCUUGGGGAGGGGGCCCAGCAUUAAUAUUUUUAAAAAAGCUCUCCAGGUGAUCCUAUAUUUGGGGGUUGUUCCAGGUUAUCUGUGGAGACACCUGGGAGCUUUAAAACUGUUGACGCCCAGGCCCCACCCCCAGAAAUUCUAAUUCAAUUGGCCUGGAAUAUAAUUGACUUACAGCGUGAUGGAGAAUCCAGAUUUUUGUUUCCCGAGUCAUUAUAAUAACGAGAUCCAGGCUCUCUCCAAAUGCGCAGUAUCCCUUUCUCCCUAAAAAGAGGUUUUCUGGAGUUUUUGUCAUGGGACCACGAACCACUUUCCAAUUCCAUCUCGGCUGCUCACGGCUCGAAAAUCAAUACUCAAGAGACAAGCGAUGGUGGGAAAGGUGACAUGAGGAAAUGACAUCCUGCUAACCAGAGAGGCAAGACGGUGCCCGCUUCACUCCAAACCUUCCCGUGAGCCCCGAUGGGUGCGGCACCCUUGGUCGGUGGCCUGAAAACACGUGCCUCCCCUGGAUCCCCUGACCGCGUGGAUGCUGCCACCCGGGCUGGAAGACGCGUCCUCGCUUCUUGCUGUAGGUGUGCAAAGGAGACCAGUCAGGAGGCUUUGCUCUUCCUCUUUGAAGUUGUCACAGCACAUUUAGUCAUUAACUCGCCCAAUCUUCAGAACAAACAGCUAGACCGGACUUGUUUAAGCCGAGUCUUGGAGCGUAGUUAAGCCUCGGAAUUUCCAGGAGAGCAGGUCUGGCUCAUAAUCUUGGGUCCGGAACCUGCUAGCGUGUGAAAGCUGAUCAAUUCCUUCAUCUCCUUGAAGUUGGUUUCCUUGUCGGUUCAGGGGAGGCCUCCUAUCCAUCGCAUAGGUUGUUGGGAGGGGAAAUGGGUCAAACGUUUAGGAAAGCACCUGGUGUAUAGGUAGUGUCUCAUGAAUGUAUUUGUUGCCACUGGGUGAGGGAUGGGCAUCACGACGUGUCCACCCACGAACUUCACAGCCAGCCUCUGCCGGUGUGGGCUGGACUUCUCAGACCUCUCUCUCUGUUACUCCUGAGAAGGCAAACACCAGUGCUGUACUUAUCGGGUAUCCCUUGACUUCCCCAAAAUGCACUGGAUUUGGUUCCCUUCUGGACUGCGGGACAAUACCCAGCUGUUGCAGGUUUGGGGUAACAGGGCCUGUUAACAACAGCAAUCAUUGAAAAAUGGUUGUCAGUAUUUACAGCCAGUUUCUUAGAAUAAAUUAUCCCCUAAAGAGAUUAGUGGUUGUGUCAACAUGCCCCAUGAGGACCCAUUAGGGACGACUCUGUCCAUUUGGAUCAGAAGGUACUCUUUGAUAGUCUUGGUUUAGAAACAAUUCUCUUCAUGCUUGUAGUGUUUUCCUGCCACAGAGCAGAAGUGACAGGAGCACCUUGGCCAGGGACAGUAGUUUAGGGGGACCUGAUGCCUCCCUAGAGUCGUCCAGAUCACUAGUUGGGAGAUCGCCCUGUACAGCAAGACAGUCAGUCCUCCCUAAGCGUUUCCAGUAACCAAGAUUCGAGUGAAUUCUCCUAAUAUCUCUGGAAGCAGCAUGAUUCCUGCGAGUUUCCUCUGGCCGGUCUGGGUUUCAAAUAAGAAUGGAACUUCCUGUUUCCU
Felis catus (domestic cat) is the source of this 1676-nucleotide long non-coding RNA. RefSeq lists it as uncharacterized. The record is from RefSeq and is a predicted model, not a curated record. NCBI's taxonomy places the organism in Eukaryota, Metazoa, Chordata, Mammalia, Carnivora, Felidae. The transcript is spliced from 2 exons.